This 412-nucleotide ribosomal RNA is filed under the name uncultured bacterium. RNAcentral's name for it is "bacterial SSU rRNA". It matches the Rfam family "Bacterial small subunit ribosomal RNA", at positions 355 to 794 of the family's 1533-position model. The record is from RNAcentral.
UGGGGAAUAUUGCGCAAUGGGGGAAACCCUGACGCAGCAACGCCGCGUGAGCGAUGAAGGCCUUCGGGUCGUAAAGCUCUGUCUUUUGGGACGCGGUACCAAAGGAGGAAGCCACGGCUAACUACGUGCCAGCAGCCGCGGUAAUACGUAGGUGGCGAGCGUUGUCCGGAAUUACUGGGCGUAAAGGGUGCGUAGGCGGAAGCUUAAGUCAGAUGUGAAAUACUAAGGCUCAACCUUAGAAUGGCAUUUGGAACUGGGUCUAGAGUGCAGGAGAGGAAAGCGGAAUUCCUAGUGUAGCGGUGAAAUGCGUGGAAUUAGGAAGAACACCAGUGGCGAAGGCGGCUUUCUGGACUGUAACUGACGCUGAGGCACGGAAGCGUGGGGAGCAAACAGGAUUAGAUACCCCGGUAGU